CGUAAAGUGUCGGUAAUUUAUUUGACGCAAUUAAAAUCAAGCUGAAGUUUAAAACAGUUUUAAGCACACUAAGAAAUGUUCGAAACGCACAGUCGGGACCGAGCCGCGAGUGACGUUAAACCUUAUAAGAGAAUCCGAACCGAGGAUGUGAAAUAUUAACAUAUAAAAAUACGUUCUGCCGUCAACCAUAAACGAAGAUUAUUCCACGUUUCGUGCCUUCAUACUGCGAAGAAACUAAUAAGAUGCUUAAAUCAUUCUGGCCGGUUUCGUCGAAAAUGCCGGAAUUAGUUGGAACUCCAUUAGUAUAUGUGGAAUUUAGAAAUGCGCAAGAUUGAUCAUAAAGGCUAUUUGCAAUUGGAAUCUCGUAACGAGUGUUCCGAGAUAUUGUAGUGCUCAUCUCGAGCUUACCAAAGCACUACAAGGCUGUCUGAAUCGGCUAACAUAACCCAGAGAAACACUUGUUUAAAUAAUGCAUCGUAGGAAGGAGCAUGUGCGUCGUUGUGGGUUCUUCGCAAUUCAACUGGAAAAAAACGCAGCCGGAGCUGGAGAUACGAUUUGUAGUGCUCUCGGUGAUAAUGCUGUAUCUCAUCCCACCUACAAAUAUUGUUAUAAGAGUCUCGUUUGGCUAAAAACUCGGUUCACACCGAAAAGAAAAUUGCAUCGCAAGCUAGAAGAAAGUAAAAAGGCAAGCCAUUUCUCAGCGUUCGCGAAAACUAGGGAAAAUUCGAAAGGAAACUAACGAAAAUUACGAAAUUAACGAAAUUAAUCGGAAUGAAGCAUCGUAGUUUCUUCGAGUCAUAGAAAAUAUGGGAAAUUACUUUACCAACUAAUUCUUUCGUAUACAAAUUUAAUUACACUCCGAACGACCCAACAGUUUCCCUUGGACUUUCGACGAUUUUCUUCGUUGGUUCGAAAAACUGUAUCUCACCGUGUAACAUAAUUCAGCCUGAAACACUGCGUUGGAAUGUCAGACAAGUCUGGCGUUAUGUAUUAGACAUCCUGGCACGUUUCUCUCGGACUUUACUCGGCUGUGGCGAUUCCAAUGCGAGCAGAGAAAAAGUAAGUAGCUGAACGAUGUCGGCUCGCCAAGUGGAUUUGCUGAUCUCGUUUCCAGCUGUUGGUAUUCCAGGAUUUACGAAGCAACGCGACGUAACGAGACCGGUUGACGAGGGCAAGAAGUUAACUGGCAGUGCGAUCUUAACGACGGCCAGUUUAUUAAAACUCGGAAAUACACACCGUCGGCAAUUAACGUCGCGCGUACAUAGCACCUUUCACGAUCGGCUUGUCAGGAGACCGCCGAUUACGUGUUCGGCUCUGCGCGUACCAGCGUCUAAGCAGGUCCUUUUUUCGCCCGGGAAAUGCAAGCGACGCAAUCUGCUGCGGCCAACGAAGCAGGCUAACUGUAAGGAUAAUGUUACCGCUUAAAAGUUAGCGAAUUUCAUUCGCCUCGCGCUGAAGAAAAAUAACGAUCAGCUAGAUUUCCGAUUUCAAGGGUCAAAUGUCGUUUCCUAGGCUUCUUUCGAAAGCCUGAAGCAUGAAUAGUCGAUUUCUGCACCGACAGCACAUUUUCAUGUUACGGGGUUUGAUCAAAACGUCCCUGGAAUUACUUCAAUUUACUUCAAGAGAUAUUACAGAGUUAAGAGAAAUUUUACUCGAAUUUCGGAUAAGAAAUAAGUAUUAACGAAUAAAAUUGUAUUCGACAUUGUCAAGUAAAUAUCCAGUGGAAUACAAAAUCUAAAUAACAAUUGAUCCGAAUCA
This is a non-coding RNA of Megalopta genalis, 1758 nucleotides long. The record is from RefSeq and is a predicted model, not a curated record. Lineage: Eukaryota; Metazoa; Arthropoda; Insecta; Hymenoptera; Halictidae.